RNAcentral lists this ribosomal RNA (521 nucleotides) under uncultured bacterium. RNAcentral's name for it is "bacterial SSU rRNA". It matches the Rfam family "Bacterial small subunit ribosomal RNA", at positions 988 to 1509 of the family's 1533-position model. The record is from RNAcentral.
CCAGAGAACUUAGCAGAGAUGCUUUGGUGCCUUCGGGAACUCUGAGACAGGUGCUGCAUGGCUGUCGUCAGCUCGUGUUGUGAAAUGUUGGGUUAAGUCCCGCAACGAGCGCAACCCUUAUCCUUUGUUGCCAGCGGCUCGGCCGGGAACUCAAAGGAGACUGCCGGUGAUAAACCGGAGGAAGGUGGGGAUGACGUCAAGUCAUCAUGGCCCUUACGGCCAGGGCUACACACGUGCUACAAUGGCGCAUACAAAGAGAAGCGACCUCGCGAGAGCAAGCGGACCUCACAAAGUGCGUCGUAGUCCGGAUUGGAGUCUGCAACUCGACUCCAUGAAGUCGGAAUCGCUAGUAAUCGUAGAUCAGAAUGCUACGGUGAAUACGUUCCCGGGCCUUGUACACACCGCCCGUCACACCAUGGGAGUGGGUUGCAAAGGAAGUAGGUAGCUUAACCUUCGGGAGGGCGCUUACCACUUUGUGAUUCAUGACUGGGGUGAAGUCGUAACAAGGUAGGCGUAGCGAG